AUGGCUCCCCUCCGUGCCCUCCCCGAGGAGAUGGUGAUAUGGGAGAUCCUCGUCCGCCUGCCUCCCAAAGCCCUCCUCCGCUGCCGCACCGUCUGCCGUGCCUGGCGCAGCAUAACCUCCACCCGCGACUUCCUCCUCGCCCACCAUGUCCACCAGCCCGCCCUCCUCCUUCUCGACGACUGCACCAACUAUGAAAAAGGCAUCUCCGACUCGCUAAACAUCAUCUGCUUCGACCAUCGGGCAGGGGUGGCCACCCCCGACCAGCUCCAGCCCAUCGCCCGACUUACUGCCCAAACCUCCUUUCAUCUAGAUGCCGCCUUGAUGAGGGUCGACUGCGGAAGCGACAACAUCUCCUACUAUCAUCCGGUUGUCUCCUGCGAUGGCCUCCUCGUCCUCUGCGUCAAGGACAGCGGCUUCUUCAUCUGCAAUCCGGCAACUCGCCAGUAUGCUCGCCUCCCGCUCCCUUUGGGUCAUGCGUGGUGGCUCCUGGGAAUGUACCCUCACCCUUCUACUGACGAGUACAGACUAUUGCUCUACUCAUACAAGCGUAUCACAGAAGAUGAGCGUCAAGAUGCGUGUCGCGUCUUGGCAUUGGGCUCCGGCCAUCCACCGAGGCAUAUUGGGUUGCCAAAUGCGAUUACGCUGGGAUUAGACGACCCGCAUGUGCUAUUCCGUGGUAGCCUGCAUUGGUGCACAUCUGAUUAUGACGGAGAAUGCAAAACGAUAGGGGUGUUCGACACCAGAUCUGAAUUGUUCCGGGAGAUGCGUACUCCCGUUGUUGCUUGCUGCGUUGACCUGUUUGAAAUGGAUGACAUGUUUGGCGUGGCCAUCCUUGAUUGUGAGAAAAUCAUUGAUAUAUGGGUGUUGCAAGAUUAUGAAAGGGAGAUAUGGGUCUUAAAUCACCGGAUUGAAUUGCCGUUUGCGGAGAUCAGGGUGCAGUGCGAUAAGUAUGAUACAUACAUUCGGUCGUCGUUUUAUGUGUCUGUCAUGCCAGGGGAUGGUGAGUUGCUUGUGUUGGUCAAAUUUGCCGAUUGGCUAUUUCGGGUUGGCACGGAUGGCAAGUUGGUCGCCACUUUACAUCGCAAAGGAUUAGAUCGUACUUAUUUUCAGCUUAAACAAUCUCUUGUUUCGCAUACCUUCUUUCAUGCACUAGAGGAUUAUGCUAUGAAUGCUCCACCUUUUAUCUGA
This 1188-nucleotide ribosomal RNA is filed under the name Triticum aestivum (bread wheat). RNAcentral's name for it is "partial small subunit ribosomal RNA". Lineage: Eukaryota; Viridiplantae; Streptophyta; Magnoliopsida; Poales; Poaceae. The record is from RNAcentral.